GACGAACGCUGGCGGCGUGCUUAACACAUGCAAGUCGAACGGAAAGGCCCUGCUUUUGUGGGGUGCUCGAGUGGCGAACGGGUGAGUAACACGUGAGUAACCUGCCCUUGACUUUGGGAUAACUUCAGGAAACUGGGGCUAAUACCGGAUAGGAGCUCCUGCUGCAUGGUGGGGGUUGGAAAGUUUCGGCGGUUGGGGAUGGACUCGCGGCUUAUCAGCUUGUUGGUGGGGUAGUGGCUUACCAAGGCUUUGACGGGUAGCCGGCCUGAGAGGGUGACCGGCAACAUUGGGACUGAGAUAAGGCCCGGACACCUACGGGAGGCAGCAGUGGGGAAUAGUGCACACUGGGCGGAAGCCAGAUGCAGCAACGCCGCGUGCGGGAUGACGGCCUUCGGGUUGUAAACCGCAUUCGCCUGUGACGAAGCGUGAGUGAGGGUAAUGGGUAAAGAAGCACCGGCUAACUACGUG
Molecule: ribosomal RNA, 468 nt
Filed under: uncultured bacterium
Lineage: Bacteria
Description: partial 16S ribosomal RNA
Rfam family: Bacterial small subunit ribosomal RNA
Source: RNAcentral